AUAUGCAGCUAUCUUAAUUGACCAAGCAUCCAUUUCACUAACUGAACCUAAAGGAAAAUCUGCUAUAUUGACUUGCAAUACUGUAGGCGUUGACCUGGAAAAAAGACCACUUCACUGGUAUCGACAGAAAUCCAAUGAAGGAUUGGAGAAUAUCCUUUACAUAUUUGAAGGAAAAGCCACUUACAGACCAGGGUUUAGCUCUAGCAAGUAUAAGGCUGGUCGUAUUUCAAGUUUGACAAUAGUGAAUAUAAAUGACGAGGACAGCGCUGUGUAUUACUGUGCCUGCUGGGAUACAAGUCACAGUAACACAACUUAGGAAAUACUUCAUACAAAUUUUACCAUACAGAAGACCAACCUUUGAAGGAACCAGAAGUAGCCAUCCUAAAGUCUAGCACCGAACAAGUGGCAAAAAACGGGUUUGCAAUUUAUAUGUGCAAUUUGCAAAAUUUCUUCCCUGGUCUCAUCAAAGUAGUCUGGUAUGAAGGUAAUAGCAAAGAAGAGGUGCAGUCAGAGCAAGGUGAAAUUGAACACAAUAACGUCACAAACACAUAUUCAAUGAGCAGCUGGAUAAAAGUGCCAAAAUCUGACUUGGGAAAGAUGUUUACAUGCAAGUACAAACAUGACACAACCAAAGAAGGCUGGAAAAUGGAAUAUGUCUCAGGAAAUGAAUAUAAUCUAGAGAUUUUUAAGGAAGAGUCCAUUUACAAGGCAUGCAAUCAAGGUUUGCCGAGUUUUAAUCGCAUGAUGUACCGAGCAGCACAAGUUACCUAUGCUAUGCUAAUCUUGAAGAGCUUAAUAUAUUCACCGAUUUUGAUUUUCAUUAGGUACAAAACCAACCCAUAAAUUUCUCAAAGCAGACAAAGGUUUUUGGGAAACAAUUAUGCAGAAAAACAUGCUUAAUUUGUUUUUACUUUUAAGUUUAUUGUGAUUUACUUUUUUUACUGACACAUUUACUAUU
Rana temporaria (common frog) is the source of this 958-nucleotide non-coding RNA. Lineage: Eukaryota; Metazoa; Chordata; Amphibia; Anura; Ranidae. The record is from the annotation of a RefSeq genome assembly.